This is a long non-coding RNA of Equus caballus (horse), 3298 nucleotides long. The record is from Ensembl. Lineage: Eukaryota; Metazoa; Chordata; Mammalia; Perissodactyla; Equidae.
AUGAAACCUCAGUAAAGGUUCUGGACACCAAAGCGCAAGUGAACUUCUUUGGUUGACAGUACUCUGCAUAUUGUGGCACAUCAACAUGUCAGGAGGGUAAAGAGUCCUGAGGACAAGGAUGCUUCAUGUUUGGGACCCUCCCAGACCUUGACCUUUCACUGAACAUGAAAAAUUCUGAGUUCAAAAUUAUGUUCAAUGGGAACUGAAAGUAGACUACAAAGAGGAUGCCUCCAGUCUCCUUUUAUACCUUCCCAAAAGAUGAUGUAAUACUUUGAACAGCCAAGAAGAGAACUGAAGGGUGGUACACUAAUCUGGCUAUAAACCCAUCGUGUAAUUGUCCACACUCUCUCUUCCUCUCUGUGUCUACUUUGGAGGCCAUGCAUUUAAUAUAUCAGCAUCAAGAUGGAAGAAGCCUGGAUCCCUGAGCCAAUACUAGAAAGGAAGUCACUAAGGAGAGCUCCAGAUUCACCCUGGGCUCUAUGAGCAAGAAGACGUGUCCUUGAAUUAUUUAUAACAGAGGAGCCACCUGCUUGGAACAAUUUUCCACUUUGCCUUGUGCUCAACCGGCCUUGUCAACUGAUAUUGCAGUUGCUGAUGACCCCAUGUGAGCAAACGCAAGCUCAUCUGCUGAAUGCUGAGGGCCAUUUGACUCACUUGCCCCCGUUACCGUGGCCAACCGCUAGAUGUGUGGAUGAGACCAAGCUAGACCCAAUGGUGGACCACGUGCAGGAGGAAGCCCAGCCGGGAGCAGGCACACCAGCUCAGACUGAAAGAACUGCUCACUCGACCCACGGGACCGUUACACAAAGGAACUGCUGCGGUUUUAAGUGACCAUGUUUCAGGAUAGUUUAUUAGGUGACAAAAGCUGACUGAUUCAUCAGUGAAGCAAAUGGUGACUGUGCUGCCGUCCUAAGAAUGGUGGAGGGUAAUCUUAGUUUUGUUGGCAUUUUCUGGAUGCUCAAAAGUUGCCUCAUUUCUUCUCUUCCCCUUAUUUAGGCAGGGCAGGGUAGGGAUCCAAUCCAUGGGCUCAUUCUCUUCUUGCUGUCUUGCCACUGCCUCCCAUUGGUCACACACAGCAGGAAGGCAGAAGACAAAGGAACCUUGGUGAUGUGCUCUGGAGAGCUCAGCUUCCUGGUCCAGGGCAGAACAGGGAAGCAUGAGAAAAGAUUCUGGGGGGUAGGAGAGGGAGGUGGAGGCACAGAGCAUGGAUAAGAUACUUAAUAGAUGAGGACUUUACUCUCUGGUCCUAAACAUCUUUCCAGAUGCUGUUCCUUCUUUAUUUUUAUGAAGAACCUUCAGUUUUCCUUCCUACCCAUCUAUGUCCAUGUUGUUCUCAGUGCCUAAUAGGCCCUUUUCUUCUAAUCCUCCUGGUAAACUUUUAUUUAUCUGUCAAGGCCUAGUUGCUGUGAAUUCUUCCUCAUUGCUCUUAGCAAAAUAAACCACCUAACCUCUCUUUUUCUAUGACACUGAUAUUUCCAUUUCACAUAGUAGCUUCUUAUAAUAAUAGUUUUCUUCCCUCUCCACACAAAGUAGGAAACAUGCUCUGUUUCCCAAUGUGCACUUUUUGUUUAGCAACUACUAAGUGCUCAAUAAAUAUUUAAUAAAGGAUUAUGAUAUAGCCUGAGGGUAUAGUGGCAAUAAUGCCAUGUUGCUUCUGUUUGUGGAUAAGGACUAAUUAGAAGAGAAAAUUAAAAUAACACACACAAACACACAUAUAUAUAUAUAUAUGAGAGAGAGAGAGGUUGGCAUAAGGAAUACUCUUUUUCUUUUAUGAGGCUACAGUAGAUUUUAUUUUCAAUGGUUCUCAUCCUGAUCUAAUAGGAGGAUAUUAUGCUCUGCUUGUUGCCAUGUGACUUAUAGAGCCUUUCAGUGGGUGGGGUAUAUUUCCCCACCUCACUGAGCCCCAAGUGACUGUCUCUGGCCAGUGAAAUCUGAGCAGAAGUUGCUGUUGGCCAGUGGAGAGCAGAAGCUUUAGGGGCUCAAGGGUUUCUGCCAGAUCUCUUGCUCUUUUCCCUUUGCUGUGAGAAUAGUACUACCAGGUAGAGGCUGAUCUUUCAGCUUGGAUCCCAGAAUGAAGAAAUCGCACCCUGAAGAGACACAGCUGGUCCCAUGAGGAACAUAUAAUGAGAGUGAGGAACAAGCCUUUGUUGUCAUAAGUCAUCAAGAUUUGGGGGUUAUUUGUUACCACAGUCUUCCCCAGUAAAAUCUGACUAAUACAUAGACAUGAUUUUUUUAAUUGAAUGAUGAUUAUGAAGACAAAUAUUUAAUGAGUGUACAACAAAGUUUGAGGCACAUUGUAGGGUCCCUCCUUUCUGAGCCAGCUGCUGCCCCCUUCUUACACUGCAUCCUAUGGUGGACAGUUAACAAAAGACCACAGAUCUGCAGACUGUCUUCUGACGGCCAAACAACUAGGUGUGUGUGGUGGCGCGGGGGUGGGGUGCUCCUAAAAAUUCCUAGGACUAUGAAGAAGUAUUUACAGCCUCCUGUCAACACCAAGAAGCCACUAAAGCGCUUCUAAAUUCUCAUUUUGGGCAGCAUUUCAAAAAUGUUGCCAUUUCACAAGAAGGUGAAAAUUUCAGGUUUCCCUGAAAGUAGGAAGCAUUUUCACUCGACAAAGUUUUUAAUUUUAAAGACAAUUAAAUAUAAGCUAAGUCAGGAUAAGAGAAAAUCAUUAAAAGGCUGUGCAGAGAGCAGCCACAGAGCAUUACAGGAGAGCGGAGGGCUCCAACCUGCUCUGAGUGCCCUAUUCUGACUUACCUUCGAUCCACAAAAAGUCUGAACUUCAAACACAGAAGUGAAAAUGGAACUGGGGUGGCCUAAAUUUUCCCCUAUUUGAGUAUUUCCGUGUUUAUGUAUUAUGUAUCUAGUCAGCAUUAACCUAUCACUUCCCAAAAGAAUGGAAGGACUUUCUUUGAAUGGGAAGGAGGCUGGGAGGGGAGGAUUAACAUGAGAACCAUACUGUGGUCUCUAUCUAUUUCUUCAAUAUGCCUGACAUACGCAAAGAAAUGGGAAAGCUUUUCCAUUGUUAAAAAGAGAAACCUGACAACAUGCCUGCAUGUCUCUGAAACUUGUCAAAAAAAUAAGAUCAUGGGACACCGGGUGCAUCCAAUCUGUCACAUUAAUGAAAAUUCCCCAAAGCCUCCACAUGUACUUUUUCCUUGUGCUUCCAAUAAAAAACUCCUUUGAAAGAGAAGGAGUGGGGACACAUGCGCUUUCAAACCAUCUCCCUAGAAGUGUUCGUGCUAAUUUUCCCCGUAAAGGAAGAAAGCUGUUGUUUUCUAUCAGAUCUCUCAAGCCU